UCCCAAAGUGGUCCAGGUGGACCCCCAGGGGUCCACGGGAGACUCGACGGGGGUCUACGUUGGGUCUAACAAAAAAUGGGGGUCUACACUUUGUAAGCGGGGGUGAAUGAAAAUUAAUUUGGUUUCGAUAGUGAAGAACUAAGAUAUUGGCUUGACUUCUAUCACUUUAGGCAGAUAAUAUUUUGAGAAGCUCAGCGACUGUUACUUGUAAAACCCUGUAAAAUUGUAAAAAUUUGUUCCAUAUUCAGUACAACGCGUCGAGACUUGUCGUCGACGCGCCGCUGCCGGCAACCGUCCCGUCCGCAAUACUUGUUCAAACGUGUAGAGGUGCAGAAAACAUCGAUGGAAACAUCGAUACCUCGAUGUUUUGGAAAAAUGAAAAACAUCGAUGUAUUUUAAAAAACAUCGAGAAGCUCAGCAAGUUCUUCACCUCUACAAACGUGCAAAUGAAUUGAAUCAAAUGAAUGUUUAUAAAUACGAAUGUCAAGGAGAAACGUUUCUCAUUUCCGAAAUGUCAUAAGGAAAUCUGAAUCGAUAUUAGUGCCAUAAUUUGUUUCCAGACUUUCUAAAAGUAAAGUGAAUCGAUAUUACCUAGUGAUUACCAGUAUCGCAAAAAUUGGUAAUUGAUACGAAACAUGACCGAAUCUAAGAAGAAGUGUCGUCAGUAUAGUGUUGAAUAUUUAAAAUUUGGUUUUCUUCCAUCACAGGCAGACAAACGGUUGCCCACAUGCAUUUUAUGCAACAAAGUUUUGGGCAAUGACUCCAUGAAACCAUCAAAGCUGGAAGAGCACCUAAGAAGGUGUCAUCCAGAUAAAAAAGAUAAAGAUUUAAAAUAUUUCCAAACAUUUAAAGAAAAAUAUGAAAAAAGACCCACCGUGCACAGUAUGUUUGCUUCAACGUCUGAAAGCAAUGAUGAUGGCUUGCGGGCAUCUUACAAUAUCUCAUUACUCAUAGCAAAAUCU
Drosophila ananassae is the source of this 962-nucleotide long non-coding RNA. RefSeq lists it as uncharacterized. The transcript has 2 exons. NCBI's taxonomy places the organism in Eukaryota, Metazoa, Arthropoda, Insecta, Diptera, Drosophilidae. The record is from RefSeq and is a predicted model, not a curated record.